Long non-coding RNA from Neofelis nebulosa (Clouded leopard), 371 nucleotides. RefSeq lists it as uncharacterized. NCBI's taxonomy places the organism in Eukaryota, Metazoa, Chordata, Mammalia, Carnivora, Felidae. The record is from RefSeq and is a predicted model, not a curated record. The transcript has 3 exons.
AGAGAGAGAGAGAGAGAGAGAGCAGGAGCGAGAGGAAGAGAGAGAGAGAGCAGGAGUGAGAGGAGUAGAGAGAGACAGCAGGAGCGAGAGGGGCAGAGAGAGAGAGAGCAGGAGUGAGAGGAGUAGAGAGAGACAGCAGGAGUAAGAGAGGGGCAGAGAGAGAGAGAGAGAGAGAGCAGGAGCGAGAGGAGUAGAGAGAGACAGCAGGAGCGUGAGAGGCAGAGAGAGAGAGCAGGAGCGAGAGGGGCAGAGAGAGAGACAGCAGGAGCGAGAGGGGCAGAGAGAGAGCAGGAGAGCGAGAGGGGCAGAGAGAGAGAGAGCAGGAGUGAGAGGAGUAGAGAGAGACAGCAGGAGCGAGAGGGGCAGAGAGA